GACCCACCCUGGAUGUGGGAAGUGCCAUCCAGUGGACCGGGGUUCUGGACUGAACAAAAAGUGGAAAAGGAGAAAGAGAGCUGAGCACUAGCAGGAAUCUGUUUCCUGACUGCGGAUGUAGUGUGACCAGAAGCCUCACACCGUCCCUGCCAUGAUGGACUCUACUCUCUUCAACCCUGAGCCAAAAUAAGAAUUUCUUCUCUAAGCCCCCUUUGUUAGGAAUUUGGUCACGACAAUAGGAAAAGCAAUGAAUGCACGACCCGUGAUUCCUUUUUAAGUAAGAGCUGUGCAAGUGGACCCCAGACAACUCUGUCCCCAGAGAGUCCCAUGUCUCUCACCUGGAAAGCUUGGUCUGAAGUAAUGGUCUCGGGGUUUCUGUCCUUUGAGGAACAGCCUAGAAAGGGGGAACAGUGGCCUGAAAUCUAGCAGUCUCCCAGAUGCCUCCCUCCCCCACCAGCCUUUACCUUCCAUACCUGGCCAGGGGCGGCCACAGUCCUUUUUGAACCCGUGCGGGGACUCAUGACCUCGCCUGAAAUGCUCAUGCUCCGACCCGCAGGCCUACAGGCACUGCCACGAUUCACGCACGGGGACUCCAGCUCCACGGAGCUGAGAGACUGAGUCUCCUGCAGCCCUUUGGCCUUAGCGUGCGCCCCACGCGGCAACUCCUGGGUGGAGCAAGCCUCUCUCAAGCCCUCGCCCGUGGGUCCACCGCUCCAACCCACGCGAUGCAGUUUGCCUGGCUCGGAGAAACAGCACAUCCGCUGCUGGCUGGCCAGACGCCCCCGGUCGGCAUCAACCAGCGCUCGGACCGGGGUGCGUGCGGGCUCCGCUUCUCCACCCUCGUGGCAGCUGGAGGCUGAGCGCGCGUGCACCGCGGGAGGCCGCGGGGUGAGCGCGGGCCGCAGGCGGCCGGGCAGGCUCAUGCGGAGCUCCUUUCUCUGGAACGAUGUCUCCCGCAGCACUCGACGCUGCGCACCCUGCAGCCGCUGACGGCUGUCUGCAGUGAGCCCCAAGUGUGUAGCCUCGCCACUGCCCUUCCAGCUGACACAAAGCAUUCCCACACAGAUAAGGGCAGGAAACUGGAGGUACCAGCGGCUCGAUCCCUGAGCAUUGUCCCUCUGCCUUCCGAGGCCCUCGGCACAGUAAGGUGGCUGUGAGCAGACCCACACAGAUGCUGGG
Long non-coding RNA from Onychomys torridus (southern grasshopper mouse), 1179 nucleotides. RefSeq lists it as uncharacterized. The transcript has 3 exons. The record is from RefSeq and is a predicted model, not a curated record. NCBI's taxonomy places the organism in Eukaryota, Metazoa, Chordata, Mammalia, Rodentia, Cricetidae.